CUCAACAAGGGCAGCAGAGUCAUUACAUGGGAAUAUAAAAUGAAUAUAAUGAGCGGUUGCUCCCUGCCUCCCUUUCCUGUUCCUCCCUCUCCAACAAAACCCGUAUAAGGCCCUUGUUUGACCCUCCCAUUCUAGCAUCGCGCUGUAUCAAUGUUUCUCAGCCUGGUCCUCAGAGACCCCCCACAUAGUCCUACCGGGAGCUGGGAGGAAACAAGGAUGUGUACCGUCUGGGGUCCCUGUGUGUGUGUUUAGAAGAAGCUGGUGAAGCGUUCUUCAUGCAAACAGGCUCCUGUGGACCUGCAGCUGUGGUGAAAAAAAAAUAGGUUUUCUCCUGGUCUGGUCCUUCACCAAAUGGGACUUGAGUAUGAGAGGGUGUUACUGUUGUGGCUUUCAUGAGAAUGCACCCCCGCCCUCUACCUGCCGGUGUGCUUUCCCUCACACUUCUUUUUGCAUGCUAUGCAAAGCAUUACUGGGUUGGUCACCUCGGGAGAAUCGGAGGUAUAGGAUGCUUGGAAAUAAAAAAAAAAAAAAAAAAUGGAGGGAGAAUAUAGAGAAGAAGGUAUGGUAAUCUUGUGUAAAAAAAACAAAAUGGAGAAGUGCGAGAAGUAUGGCCAUAUUAUGUUAAAGGAACAGAGGGAGUGUGCUGAGAGACGUAUGGUGAUCUUAUAUAAAAUAACUGUUGGAGGCCUGAUUUUGCUGGCUCUGAAAUCAGUGCAGGAUGUUUUAAUGUUUUUUCUAGGUGCAUAAUGAAAAGCCAUUUCAAAGUGGAAGUCUGGGCCAAGUGUCUGUGGUACGGAUGGAUUUAGAAGGUUAUAAUCCGAUGAAGUCGGCACAACGCGAAGCACCUGCUGUAUCGCUGUUACUGUAAUGGUUUAUUCAUGUUAAGGUCUAUUGAUUAACUUAAGUUACUUAAAGUCUUAGAUGGUUUUUGCAGUAUCAUUCCUCAUGCCAGGUGGUCUGUUUGUCCUCUAGGUUACCAUUCCUCAUGCCAGGUGGUCUGUGUGUCCUCUAGGUUACCAUUCCUCAUGCCAGGUAGUCUGUUUGUCCUCUAGGUUACCAUUCCUCAUGCCAGGUGGUCUGUGUGUCCUCUAGGUUACCAUUCCUCAUGCCAGGUGGUCUGUUUGUCCUCUAGGUUACCGUUCCUCAUGCCAGGUGGUCUGUGUGUCCUCUAGGUUACCGUUCCUCAUGCCAGGUGGUCUGUGUGUCCUCUAGGUUACCGUUCCUCAUGCCAGGUGGUCUGUUUGUCCUCUAGGUUACCGUUCCUCAUGCCAGGUGGUCUGUGUGUCCUCUAGGUUACCAUUCCUCAUGCCAGGUGGUCUGUGUGUCCUCUAGGUUACCGUUCCUCAUGCCAGGUGGUCUGUGUGUCCUCUAGGUUACCGUUCCUCAUGCCAGGUGGUCUGUUUGUCCUCUAGAUUACCGUUCCCCAUGCCAGGUGGUCUGUUUGUCCUCUAGGUUACCGUUCCUUAUGCCAGAUGGUCUGUAUGUCCUCUAGGUUACCGUUCCUCAUGCCAGGUGGUCUGUAUGUCCUCUAGGUUACUGUUCCUCAUGCCAGGUGGUCUGUUUGUCCUCUAGGUUACUGUUCCUCAUGCCAGGUGGUCUGUUUGUCCUCUAGAUUACCGUUCCUCAUGCCAGGUAGUCUGUAUGUCCUCUAGGUUACCGUUCUUCAUGCCAGGUGGUUUUCAUGUCCUCUAGGUUACUGUUCUUCAUGCCAGGUGGUCUGCAUGUCCUCUAGAUUACCAUUCCUCAUGCCUGGUGGUCUGUAUGUCCUCUAGGUUACCAUUCCUCAUGCCAGGUGGUCUGUUUGUCCUCUAGGUUACCGUUCCUCAUGCUAAGUGGUCUGUAUGUCCUCUAGGUUACCAUUCCUCAUGCCAGGUGGUCUGUGUGUCCUCUAGGUUACCAUUCCUCAUGCCAGGUGGUCUGUUUGUCCUCUAGGUUACCGUUCCUCAUGCCAGGUGGUCUGUGUGUCCUCUAGGUUACCGUUCCUCAUGCCAGGUGGUCUGUGUGUCCUCUAGGUUACCGUUCCUCAUGCCAGGUGGUCUGUUUGUCCUCUAGGUUACCGUUCCUCAUGCCAGGUGGUCUGUGUGUCCUCUAGGUUACCAUUCCUCAUGCCAGGUGGUCUGUGUGUCCUCUAGGUUACCGUUCCUCAUGCCAGGUGGUCUGUGUGUCCUCUAGGUUACCGUUCCUCAUGCCAGGUGGUCUGUUUGUCCUCUAGAUUACCGUUCCCCAUGCCAGGUGGUCUGUUUGUCCUCUAGGUUACCGUUCCUUAUGCCAGAUGGUCUGUAUGUCCUCUAGGUUACCGUUCCUCAUGCCAGGUGGUCUGUAUGUCCUCUAGGUUACUGUUCCUCAUGCCAGGUGGUCUGUUUGUCCUCUAGGUUACUGUUCCUCAUGCCAGGUGGUCUGUUUGUCCUCUAGAUUACCGUUCCUCAUGCCAGGUAGUCUGUAUGUCCUCUAGGUUACCGUUCUUCAUGCCAGGUGGUUUUCAUGUCCUCUAGGUUACUGUUCUUCAUGCCAGGUGGUCUGCAUGUC
Brienomyrus brachyistius is the source of this 2526-nucleotide long non-coding RNA. RefSeq lists it as uncharacterized. The transcript has 3 exons. The record is from RefSeq and is a predicted model, not a curated record. Lineage: Eukaryota; Metazoa; Chordata; Actinopteri; Osteoglossiformes; Mormyridae.